UACGUAGGGGGCAAGCGUUGUCCGGAUUUAUUGGGCGUAAAGAGCGUGUAGGCGGCCAGGUAGGUCCGUUGUGAAAACUCGAGGCUUAACCUCGAGACGUCGGCGGAAACCCUCUGGCUAGAGUCCGGAAGAGGAGAGUGGAAUUCCUGGUGUAGCGGUGAAAUGCGCAGAUAUCAGGAAGAACACCCGUGGCGAAGGCGGCUCUCUGGGACGGUACUGACGCUGAGACGCGAAAGCGUGGGGAGCAAACAG
RNAcentral lists this ribosomal RNA (252 nucleotides) under uncultured bacterium. RNAcentral's name for it is "partial 16S ribosomal RNA". It matches the Rfam family "Bacterial small subunit ribosomal RNA", at positions 524 to 775 of the family's 1533-position model. The record is from RNAcentral.